UGCCCGCAGCAAUGACCAAAUCAGACUUGGUGCUAAGUCUGCACCUCCCCAAAGUCAGUGUGUUUGUAUGCUCUGCUGCCACUGCCCCCCGCUGGCCCUGCACAUGAUGUGAACCAUCAGGCAGACCUGGAGUUCUGUCUCCUGGGUGGGCUGCUUGCCAACACCAGGGUGGCUGGCCCCUGCCUGUGUCAGGUCCUGCAGUGUUGACUCUCUUCGUGUGAUGUUGGGCAGGUGGAGCUGGUUGUGCUGAGCCUGAGGAAACAUCCAAUGUGCCAAACUUUCUUGUGUGUUUCCCUCUGCUGGUUAUUUAGUAAGCCCAGGAAAAGAGCAAAUCCUGCCCCCAACAGAUGAUCCUCUCGAUGAGAGUGGUUAUGGUGAUGAUGCCAGCAUGCAGUGGGGAGAUUCGACUUUUCGAGAUUCUUCCAGCCCUUUGCUUCCCACAUUUCAUAAUGCUUGAUGGCAACAGCUCUGCUGACUGUUUGGGAAAAAGACAAUACUUAUGUCCCUUUUAGAGACACUUUACUCAGUCCCUCCCGCAAUGCUUAGUACGCAGAGAAAAUAGUAAAAUUAACCCGAUUUGCUCAUCACUCAGUUUUGGCCGUUAUCAACUAAUGGCCACUCUAGUUUCUACUGGGGUCCCAUAUACUCUGCCUGUCCCCUGAUUAUUUAGGUGCUAAUCCCAACAUUGUAUCCUUUUGAUGCGUUCCAAAGCAAAAAUAUUGAUUCCUAAGCUACCCUUGUGAAUUUUCUGAUUCAGGAGGUCAGGAAUGGGGCCUGGGAAUCUACACGUAUUUUCGAUUCUCCAGGUCUGGGAACCUACAGUAUAAAGGAAUGAGCAUGGACUUUAAGAAAGUCUGAGUUUGAGUCUUGGUUUUGCCCAAGCCUUAUAACUUUGGACGAAAACUUUAAGUUUUUGGACCUUGACCUCUUUGUCUUGAAGGAUCACCAACUCUGUGAACUUGUGGUCCACUAAGACCCUCCAACAUUUUUCACAUUAAAUACAUGCUAUCAAUCUUGUGUCUCUCAGCCUUCCCCUGCCUUGGUGUUAGGCUGGGGGUGGCGGCAGCAGGAUUGCUUGUGAGUUAUCCUCUUUUGUGGUGGUUGCGUCCACAAGAUCUCUCCAAGCUGUGUUCCCUGUCUCCCAUGUGGUGUGUCCCAACACUGUGUCCCCUUUAGUCCCAUUCAAGCUUCCCUCACUCUAUUUGCUCCAACCCACUGUGCCCAGCUCCCUGGGAAACUGAUGGGCAGAACCUAUCCCUAAACAGCAUUCUUCAAUCACAAAAUUCUUGCACCUAGAGUAAAACUGACAUUUGAUUCAGGUCAGUGAUCGUUUUUUCCAACCAAAACCAAAUCCUAAUUUCCGUGGUUGGCAUGCAUGCAGUCAUUUGGUGCUUAUGAAAAAGAAAGCAGGCUUCACUGAAUUGCAAAAACAAGAACUUUGCUGGCUUUUGGUGUGCUCAGCAUUUUUCUGAAUGAAGAUGGCAACUCACAGUGAAUACACAUUUUUUUUUCUGGUUAUUUAAUUAAAUGGAGUUCAGAGGGAAGGAACAUAAAUAAAUAAGACAAGCAAAUUGGGACGCACAUUUGAACUAGAAUGAGAAAAGAGCGGUUUCCUGAGGCGGAACACCUUCACAAUGGAGCACAGCUUUAUUUAGUACAACACUGCCCCUGCAAAUUGUGUCCUCAGUUGUUUUGGGGAGUUGAAUGUAACUUGUGCUUUCACAGCGACAACUAAUAGCAAAGAAAGGCCCUAGGAAAUGCAGGACUGCAAGAGACUGACUUACAGUGGGAAUUUGGGAAGCCAUGUGUUAGAACAAAAAGGAACUGCAACCACCUCACUGUAUGCCUGAGAAACAGAAGCUGAGAUCUCAUUAUUUGCUCAAAGCUGCAUGGCCAGUUGGCAGAGGAGCACAAACCAGCACUCUGGGUUACUGACCAGUGCUCUUUCCAUGGAGAGGUUUAGGUGGUGGUUAGAAGCACAGACACCAGGACAGACUGCCUGGGUUCACACCCCAGCUCUGUCCCUUCCUGGCUGGAUGAUCUUGUGCAAAAGAGUUAAAUCCCAUAGGGGCCACAUCAGCCAGAGUUUCAGUAGGAAACAGAUGGAACACCAAAUUAGGGUCGUUGGAAGGGGUAUUUAUAAAUGAUCAUUUCAAAGAUGUGGGUGGAGCAUGGGGAAAACACAGGCGCCAGUGCAGGGACACAGGACCAGCAGUGUUAGAGCUGUCCCCAGCACUGGGCCAGAAGGAACAAGGGGAGAGAGAGGCUGCAGAGCCUUGUUCUGAAAGCAGCUGUGUCCUCAGGUGGGGGAACCCAGACAGUCACCGUCAUCUUGUAGGGAGGAAACCAGGGUAACGGGUGCACGUCCUCACUCUCCCUUCUCUCCCUCCAUUCUCCUGAUGAGGCUCCUUACUGGCUAAACCCAACUAAAAGCACAGAACACAGAAGCUUGUCUGUGUGGUCUAGCUAGACCUGGCUCCUGGGGUGGAGAGCAUGCCAGAGGAGGGGGGGCAAAUGGAUCUGUGGGAGCAAAUAUAACUAGCUGGCACAGGGCCUCCAUUUCCUCAUCUUAAAAUGGAAUCAUAAUGGAGCCCACUCAUAGUUUGUUGUGAAGAUUGAUAACUGAAUAGAUGAAUAGCUGCAAAGUGCUUAGAAUAGUGCCAUAUAUAUAUAUAGUGUUUAUCAUACAUAUACACAUUAUUAUAGUGCUUACUACAUAACUACCAUAGUGCUUACCAUAGAUAUGUAAUAUAUAGUAAGCAUAUACACAGUAUGCAGAUAUAUAAGAGUAUAGUAAUCAUAUAGCAAGCACUAUAUUACUACAUACAUAAUAUACAUAGCAAGCAUAUACAUAUAUAAUAGUUUAAUGUAUUAUGAUAUUGUAAACUUUCCCCAUUUGCCUUUCUUGGCACUUGCACUACAUAUGGAAGACCCCUCUAUGGUCUGAGUUGAGCAUCUGGUAAACUCUUUAUUACCCCGUCACUAAUAUUUAUGAACUCAAUUUACCUUAUCAUGCAUUUUGAGUAGGAAAGUAAAUAUUUGUCUGCCCCUGAGCUAAAAUUGAUUAAACAACUUGGGGCUGGGCACCAUGGCUCAUGCCUGUAAUUCUAGCACUUUCGGAGAUGGAGGCAGGCGGAUCUCUUUAGGUCAGGAGUUCAAGAUCAGCCUGACCAACAUGGCGAAACCCUGUCUCUACCGAAAAUACAAAAAAAAUUAGCCAGCGUGGUGGCGCAUGCCUGUAAUCCCAGCUACUUGGGAGGCUGAGACAUGAGAGUCAUUUGAAGCCGGAAGGCAGAGGUUGCAGUGAGCCGAGAUCACAACACUGCACUCCAGCCUGAGUGACAGAGCAAGACUCUGUCUCACACACACACACACUCACACACAAAGUGAUUUUUUUCCUGUUGAUAACACGACCACAGCACACCAGUGUUCUCCUUGUGCAAGCCUCAAAAUGAUCAUCAUGAUAACGUUCUAGCUCAUAUAACAAACUUCAGGACUGAAAGCUUUUGAUUCAAUAUUCUGGCAUGGUGCUGAAUGAUUCCUGCAGUUAUUGAAGAGGUCCAUGCCUGCCAUUCUUUUCUUUAGCUCUAUUAAUUUACAUAUAUGUCAAACGAUAACUUCAUUUGAUGUAUCCAACUGACCUUUAUUUCAGGAUUGUUAUGAAUUUUUACUUCAUUUAUGAAAUAUACAACAAAUCAUUUUUAAAAGUAAUAUAUAUACACACAUACACAUAUAUAGGAAGCACUACACUUAUUAAAGUCAGCUAUUGUUAUCAGCUAAGAGGACGUGAUGAGUAUUCCAGUCGGAGGAGACACAGAGAAGGGCUUCAUGACCCAAGUGCUGGCAACAAUUCCUUAAGGAAACGUCGUUCCUUCCCCCACAGCUCACUCC
RNAcentral lists this long non-coding RNA (3891 nucleotides) under Homo sapiens (human). RNAcentral describes it as "non-protein coding LINC01682:13". The record is from RNAcentral. Lineage: Eukaryota; Metazoa; Chordata; Mammalia; Primates; Hominidae.